RNAcentral lists this ribosomal RNA (254 nucleotides) under uncultured bacterium. Its description in RNAcentral is "partial 16S ribosomal RNA". It matches the Rfam family "Bacterial small subunit ribosomal RNA", at positions 524 to 776 of the family's 1533-position model. The record is from RNAcentral.
UACGUAGGGGGCAAGCGUUGUCCGGAUUCAUUGGGCGUAAAGAGCUCGUAGGCGGUUCAGCAAGUCGGGUGUGAAACCUCCAGGCUCAACCUGGAGACGCCACCCGAUACUGCUGUGACUUGAGUCCGGUAGGGGACCACGGAAUUCCUGGUGUAGCGGUGAAAUGCGCAGAUAUCAGGAGGAACACCGGUGGCGAAGGCGGUGGCCUGGGCCGGAACUGACGCUGAGGAGCGAAAGCGUGGGGAGCGAACAGG